Molecule: ribosomal RNA, 644 nt
Filed under: uncultured bacterium
Lineage: Bacteria
Description: bacterial SSU rRNA
Rfam family: Bacterial small subunit ribosomal RNA
Source: RNAcentral
CCCUUAGAGUUUGAUCCUGGCUCAGAGUGAACGCUGGCGGUAGGCCUAACACAUGCAAGUCGAACGGCAGCACAGGAGAGCUUGCUCUCUGGGUGGCGAGUGGCGGACGGGUGAGGAAUACAUCGGAAUCUACCUUUUCGUGGGGGAUAACGUAGGGAAACUUACGCUAAUACCGCAUACGACCUUAGGGUGAAAGCGGAGGACCUUCGGGCUUCGCGCGGAUAGAUGAGCCGAUGUCGGAUUAGCUUGUUGGCGGGGUAAAAGCCCACCAAGGCGACGAUCCGUAGCUGGUCUGAGGGGAUGAUCAGCCACACUGGAACUGAGACACGGUCCAGACUCCUACGGGAGGCAGCAGUGGGGAAUAUUGGACAAUGGGCGCAAGCCUGAUCCAGCCAUACCGCGUGAGUGAAGAAGGCCCUCGGGUUGUAAAGCUCUUUUGUUGGGAAAGAAAUCCUGUCGGUUAAUACCCGGUAGGGAUGACGGUACCCAAAGAAUAAGCACCGGCUAACUUCGUGCCAGCAGCCGCGGUAAUACGAAGGGUGCAAGCGUUACUCGGAAUUACUGGGCGUAAAGCGUGCGUAGGUGGUUUGUUAAGUCUGAUGUGAAAGCCCCGGGCUCAACCUGGGAAUUGCAUUGGAUACUGG